UUUUUAUAAUUUAAUAUAAUUAAACGGAUAAACUAAAAUGUUUCAUGGACAACAACCCUUUUUUAAAUUACGGCUGAAAUAUGACGUCCACAAUGACCAAACAAAAAAGAAGCCACUACAUAUUCUUGCCACUGAUGUGAAACAUCCCUCUGGGUUGCGACUGACAACACUCUUUGUGUUUGACGUCUGUUGUUGACAGAGUGGCUGUGAAUCUCCUCAGUGUGUCGUUUAGGCGGAAAAUCAAUCAACUUUGGCAGUUUCUAACUGUGUGGUUCUGAAUUUUUCUGAUGUGUAGGAUUGUGAUUCAAUUCAAGGUCUCCAUGAACUUCUUUACAUUAAAGCGAUACAUUGAAGCUCAUAUUUCUUUGCAUGAAUUGAGGCUAUUUUUCAACUGAGCAGAAAAUGAAAAAUGUUUGCUGGAAAAUAGAAAGUACAUAUUGGAAAAUAUUACCAGCCUGUCCAAAUUUUUGUCAGAGCCCGUGUGACGCCUAUUGUAUGACUAUGUUAUGUGUUUUGCAGGGCUGUUAAUGCCUCCCAGAUUUGAGGAAAAAAAUGUCUUUCUUAUCAGCCCUCUGAAGCUGGAGGCAAACCAUGACAACACCGUCUGCAACAGGAGUGCUGGGGAAGAACAGAGGAAACCCGUGAAUGCUGCAAAUGAGGCGUUAUUUGAAAACAUGUGGUCCGAGGUGAAAGUAAGAUACAAAGACAAACCCCAAUAAACACCAACAGGAAUAAUAACUGUGUUUGAUACUGAGUUUGGUUCGUACGGUUAAGACCGAAACGCAAAAGCCACCAACACCCCCUGAUGGGGUUUGUGCGUUGUGCAUAAGGAAUCCUCACUUCCGAUUUUUAUUUUGCAUUUACAGUUGGACAACAUGGGAUUUUGUGCAGCGGCAUUUAGCUUUAAUGAGCACGCACUAAACGAGACACCUCAGCAUGGCUGCCUCAACUGCAUCGUUUUUUAAUUUGUUAUUAAUUCAAUGACAACCGAUACAAAUGUAGUGUGAGUUUGUUAAUGUGUGAUUUUUUGAAAAAAACAAAACAAGCUAAAUCUCUAAUAAAAAAUGUCUUGUUCCAGUCACAAAAGUAACAGUCAAAUGAUGUCUAACAUGGUGUUUUCUCCACAUAUACAUCUCUUCCUCCAAAGAAAGCCUUCAGUCCCAUUGUUUGCUUCUAUUACAAAUUAAAGAAUAAUCUAAACUUCUGGUGUAACUUAUGACAUUGCAGCAUCUACACUAAGCUCUUCAGGAGCAGCCGUUGUUUAAAACAGAAAGUUGAUCCUCUGUGUCUCACACGCAGAUGGAAGCCUCACCUGCAGCUGUAGCUCCCAGCAGCAAGACUUCAGCACAUUUAGUCCAAGAAUAUUUGGCACUAAAAGGGGAACACAAGACUUUGUGGAAAGAAAUAACCAGGAGGAAGACUGUGUCACAGUGUGAGAUCCAUCCAGUGUUGUCUUGUCUGCUGUGAUGGAAUUGACCAACAUAUCAUGGCAAUGUGAAUAGAUUAAUUUACAUUGAGGCAAAUAUACAGCAGGAAGAAUCUAUGAAAAUAUCUUUAAGAUAUGAUUGAUUGGAACUAUAAAAAUAUGAAGUAAAAUGAGUAGAGUUACGUAUAUCUGGUAUAUUUCAUAAAUGGAUGAAUCUGAAUAGAUCAGCCAAUAAAUUCACUUUUAUCUUUACACAGAAUAUUUCAAGUGCCAUUUAUGAUCAAGUUCUUCCUUUAAUAUCCUUGUUUCAUAAAACCUUUUUAUGCUCAAAAGGUCUUCUGCCUUUUCAUCAUUUUAAAAGCCAAUCUUCUGAGUAGAGCGACUUAAAAGUCUCUUGACUUUCAGAAAGGGGCUCAGAAAAGAAAAAGUCCAGAAGCAAAACAAGACUUUUUCUGAAUGCACCCAGCUUUACCCGAGGGACCUCCGAUCCCCGUGGCUCCAAAGGCUUACACGACUUCCCAUUGCAGCUGAGCAAAAAUUGCUGGAAAAUCUCGGCAACUGAGACGGAUACAAUGGCGCAGGGUGUGGUGGGCUCAGAUAAAUGGUAGCGGGACACAGCGGAGUAUGGUACAAAUAACCGUCCUUGAGAAUCAAAGAAUCCAGCAGGCUUUUAGCCAAAUGGCUCAGCUUUCCUUAUUUUGCUCGUCUCCUCAGUGAUGCUGAAAUCCCUUUCUUGGCAGCCAAGCAGAAAAACAGCAGACAUUUUCCUUUUGUUGCUUUUAAAGCAGAUUAAAGGAUGUUGUAGUCUGGCAGAGCUUGCGCUACUUGCAUCCUGUAGUAUAGUCCUAUAGGUCUAUGGUGUGUACUCUGUGCAUAGUUCGUAUGGCAAUACAAUCCUCUGAGUUUACAUGAUAUGGAAGAUGAGGUUUAUUAUGUAUGUACAAAAUCAGUUUAGUGACAAAGGGAUUAUAUUCCUCUAUUAUUCAAAAAUUAAGUAUAUAAUAGGAUUUGAAGUGACAGUCUGUGUGCGUGUUUUUUUUCAAAGUUCUUUAAUGUUUUAUACGGUAAUUCUAACUUUGUUUGAGUUAUACAACCAUAGCUGACAAUGUGUGGCAGAGGAGCUGUUCCUUUGUGAUCCACUCGACCCUCUUUCCGUCAUACUUAGUCAGCAGAUGAUUCAUUUCACGUACACUUACACAGAAGGGCAUUUUCUUGAAAUUAUAGCACUACAUCCCUUCACAGGACUCCCUGCAGCUUCGCUUUAACAUCAUCACGCGGUUACACUGUGCCUGUGUGCCAGAGGGGUUUUUGGCUCCAGACCAAGUGACCACAGCUGAAUAUUCUACAUAUUUUUUUUAUUAAAGGCAAAAAAAACUGCAGCGUGAAGUCACCCUGAGAAAAGAACUUUUGUUGAGCGUCAUGCGGCGCCACUGGCUGUUUUGAGCCGUCCGUGUUUUCCACCUCUGUGCUUCGUUCCUUCUGAGUUCACUUGAGUAUGCUGGCUGGGAGGCAGAAGUCAUUUUUUAUUUUAACAAACAGAUGCAACAUCCUUCCACUGUUUUAACAAAUUAGCUUAAAGUGUUGUGUGUACAUUUUUUGUUGCUCCAGAAGUCUGUGUUUUGAUGGACAGAGAGGUUUACGGAUGACAAAUCCAAAUUUUUCACUCUCCACGUUCAGCAAGAGACAUUUCCCUUCCUUUUACUGUAAUCCCCCCCUCAUUGCUGAUGAUAUAGUCUCUCUAUUUCUGUCCCUGCUAAGAUUUCUUAUUUAUUUUAAUUGAAUCAAAUUUGAUUCAAGGGAUUACUCGACUCUCGAUUUCUUAUCGCUGCCCCAUAGAGCUGAGAAAUUGCUUCCUCCCUAGAGACUAAUCUUAAAGCAAUUUAUUGGUUUCUAAAAGCCAAAGGGGGGGGCGAGAAGAUGUAAGAAAGCCGCCACUUUUAUCUUUAUUGGUGGUAAAUUGCUGCAGCCAUUGCUGCUGUGAAGCAUUUUAUACAGAAACGUUGAGUGGAUUCAUUUAUCACGCAUAGAUGAAUUAACACAACUUUUUAAGAAAAUCUCAGGACUGGAGUUACUUUUGGAUUUCUAAGUGGAAUAUAAUUAUUACCCAAACACUGAAUAUAAUGAAGCAAGGGUUAAGAAAAUGAAUAUCAAAGUUAUCUAGCUAGCUAGUUAAGUAAGUUUCUGAUGUCAGAUUAGGAGGAAUGUGUGCAAACAUUUCUGUAAUAAACAAUCCGUCAUGAAUCCUUCUCACCGGAUCGGUCAGCUGUGGCGUGCAGAAAGAUCUCUCUCUCUCUCUCUCUCUCUCUGGCUCUCUUUUUCCUCAUUGAUUCUACACAUUUCUUUCACUUCAUAUAAAAAACAGCAAAAGUCUUGAAGGAAUUGUCUAAACGUGUGUACCAAUAUUCCCAUAUGUUUCCAAUAUUGUCUCUCCUCUGUCUUUAUGACCGAUUUUUCACUCCGCUGUCCAAUGUAAUUGUUUGAACAACAACAACUAACUAGUUUUGUUUAGCCAAGCGUGUCAUUUCACCAUGCAUAAGAGAUGCAGUAUUUGUCAAUACUUUUAGAAUUUUGUCAAAAUACGACUGAAUCAAAAGAUGUCCUGCUCUAUACGUCAUAUUCUACAGACAUGAGUAAACAUCAUUAUUUGGCACGGAGCCUAAAACAUAUCACACUGUAAUUAUAUGAAACCGCAUGCAAUUUGCCCUCGUUCACACAGGAGGCAGCGAGUGGUGAGUCACCUCCCGCACCAUAAAUAGAGGCUCAGUUGAGGCCAACUUCCUGUUUGUAUCCUGACAUGAUUGUUGGUCUGUUUCCACGCGUCUGCUGGACUCAUUCCAACGUAAGGAGAGCUUUAUGUCUUUUAUCCAUAUUAUCAUGUAGUUUGGUUUGCAUAUGUUUUGAUUUGUUUCUUAGGGCUCGGACUGACCCUAAUAUAACAUAUCAAAUGUUGUAAUUUCUUUUCUUUCUUUUUACAUAAUAAUGCCGUAGAAAUAUCGGAGUCGAUCCACAACAAUAACAUAAACAUGGAAGCUGAUGGACAAUUAAAGGACUUCUAUCCACUGUGAUCUGUGUGUUUUGUAGAAUGUUUCAAAUCAAUGACGUCCUAUGACCACUUUGGCGAUGCUCCCAUUGGCUGGCUGUUAUACAGUAAGUCUUGAUCAACCAUGUAGGGUCAGUUGGUGCCGCGUAGAGGACACACGGCCACAACAAACACCCCCUGAUACCUGCUAAUAGGAUUCCAGAGACCUGCUCUUCCAUUGGUCAGCCGCUCGGGCCAAAGCAAAGCUCGGUUGAAGUUAAAGGCCGCAAUGUGUGCACCAAAACCUUGCUGGGCCCCGCGGAUGAAAUCCACUCUGUGGUCUGUUGAUCUGGCCGGCGGUUUGAUUGACGCCGUGUUUGCGUUAGUUUCCAGGCGCGUGGGAGCUGCAGGGCGGCGGGCGCUCCUGUAGGGCCCAUUUGUCUCUGUUUACAGAACCAGGAACGUUCAGUCAGCAGCAGGUCAAGAGGACCGACCGGCCCCAGUGAGCGACACCGGCCCUCCAACACGCACACAAGCACACAAACGAUUGCACAAGGGGAGGAAGGAACCGAACGUAUUCUUAUGUACCCACAUCUGUGGUUAUUUAUUGUUUGGGGGAAGCCCCUCAUCCUUCUCUCCGUGGUUAUUAAAGACUGUAACAAAGUCUCAGCGGCAAGAUCCACCAAUUCUUCAUCCUAACAGAUGUAAAAUGCAUACACUUCAUUUAGAGGCUGUGGUUUUU
Long non-coding RNA from Gasterosteus aculeatus aculeatus (three-spined stickleback), 5187 nucleotides. NCBI's taxonomy places the organism in Eukaryota, Metazoa, Chordata, Actinopteri, Perciformes, Gasterosteidae. The record is from Ensembl.